UUAGAUGCGAGAGUAGAGCAUAUCAAUAAGCGGAGGAAAAGAAACUAACAAGGAUUCCCUUAGUAACGGCGAGUGAAGCGGGAAGAGCUCGAAAUUUGAAAUCUUCAAGGUUCUACCUUGACGAAUUGUAGUUUAUAGAAGUGUUUUCUGUUUGAAGUUGGCUAAAAGUUCUUUGGAAUAGGACAUCAUAGAGGGUGAGAAUCCCGUAUUUGGUCAUUCUCUCCUAGCUUUGUGAUACACUUUCAACGAGUCGGAUUGUUUGGGAAUGCAGUCCAAAAUGGGUGGUAAAUUUCAUCUAAAGCUAAAUAUUGGCGAGAGACCGAUAGCGAACAAGUACCGUGAGGGAAAGAUGAAAAGAACUUUGAAAAGAGAGUUAAACAGUACGUGAAAUUGUCAAAAGGGAAGCGUUUGACACCAGUGUUGUCUUUCUCGAAAAUCAAUUACAAAAUGUUUGGAUUUUUGUAGUAGUUAUGACCUUCAUCAGCUUUCUCACUUCUUUACUGAUCUUUCUUAAUGCACUUUUCGUUUACAAGUCAACAUCAGUUUCUUUUGUUGUAAAAGGGUCAUGAGGAAGGUGGCUUUCUUUUCGGAGAAAGUGUUUAUAGCCUUGUGCCUCUGCAAUCGGAGAGAUUGAGGUCUGCAGCGUAGAUCCUUCGGGGUUAGAUACGUUUGUGCUAAGUUAUAGCUUUUCAUAGACAACUUGUUGACUAUGUUUAGUCUUGUAGCUUACUCGCUUACGCUAUUUUACCUACGCUUAGGAUGUUGACACACGCGCGUGCUCG
RNAcentral lists this ribosomal RNA (782 nucleotides) under uncultured Neocallimastigales. RNAcentral describes it as "partial large subunit ribosomal RNA". It matches the Rfam family "Eukaryotic large subunit ribosomal RNA", at positions 21 to 646 of the family's 3401-position model. The record is from RNAcentral. Lineage: Eukaryota; Fungi; Neocallimastigomycota; Neocallimastigomycetes; Neocallimastigales.